CUCGUCUGGGCGAGCAUAAACAGCUAUUAAGCCCAGAGCGUUCCGGUUCUAUGAUCGGAGGUU
This 63-nucleotide ribozyme is filed under the name uncultured Fusicatenibacter sp. RNAcentral's name for it is "Pistol ribozyme". It matches the Rfam family "Pistol ribozyme". The record is from RNAcentral. Lineage: Bacteria; Bacillati; Bacillota; Clostridia; Lachnospirales; Lachnospiraceae.